Molecule: ribosomal RNA, 465 nt
Filed under: uncultured bacterium
Lineage: Bacteria
Description: partial 16S ribosomal RNA
Rfam family: Bacterial small subunit ribosomal RNA
Source: RNAcentral
GACGAACGCUGGCGGCGUGCUUAACACAUGCAAGUCGUACGGUAAGGCCCUUUCUGGGGUACACGAGUGGCGAACGGGUGAGUAACACGUGAGUAACCUUCCCACAACUUUGGGAUAACGCUAGGAAACUGGUGCUAAUACUGGAUAUGUGCUCCUGCUGCAUGGUGGGGGUUGGAAAGCUCCGGCGGUUGUGGAUGGACUCGCGGCCUAUCAGCUUGUUGGUGGGGUAGUGGCCUACCAAGGCGGCGACGGGUAGCCGGCCUGAGAGGGUGACCGGCCACAUUGGGACUGAGAGACGGCCCAGACGCCUACGGGAGGCAGCAGGGGGGAAUAUUGCACAAUGGGCGCAAGCCGGAUGCAGCAACGCCGCGGGCGGGAUGACGGCCUUCGGGUUGUAAACCGGUUUCAGCAGGGACGAAGCUUUUUGUGACGGUACCUGCAGAAGAAGCACCGGCUAACUACGUG